CCUACGGGAGGCAGCAGUGAGGAAUAUUGGUCAAUGGACGAGAGUCUGAACCAGCCAAGUAGCGUGAAGGAUGACUGCCCUAUGGGUUGUAAACUUCUUUUAUAUGGGAAUAAAAUGUUCCACGUGUGGGAUUUUGUAUGUACCAUAUGAAUAAGGAUCGGCUAACUCCGUUCCAGCAGCCGCGGUAAUACGGAGGAUCCGAGCGUUAUCCGGAUUUAUUGGGUUUAAAGGGAGCGUAGGUGGAUUGUUAAGUCAGUUGUGAAAGUUUGCGGCUCAACCGUAAAAUUGCAGUUGAAACUGGCAGUCUUGAGUACAGUAGAGGUGGGCGGAAUUCGUGGUGUAGCGGUGAAAGGCUUAGAUAUCACGAAGAACUCCGAUUGCGAAGGCAGCUCACUGGACUGCAACUGACACUGAGGCUCGAAAGUGUGGGUAUCAAACAGGAUUAGAUACCCCAGUAGUC
This 460-nucleotide ribosomal RNA is filed under the name uncultured bacterium. RNAcentral describes it as "partial 16S ribosomal RNA". It matches the Rfam family "Bacterial small subunit ribosomal RNA", at positions 338 to 795 of the family's 1533-position model. The record is from RNAcentral.